CACGCGGGAGCCGGGCGGACGGACGGACGGACGGACGCGGGAGGGGGCGGCCGGCCAGACACACAGCCGGAGGGGGAGGGGGCGGUCCUUCCGGUCCCCUUCACUUCCGGCCCUGGCGCCGCGGCGGACGGUGUGGCAGCGCCGCUCGGCCCGCUCCGCUCCGCGCUCGCCCGCCCCCCCCGGCCUCCCCAUGCAGCGCCGCGACGACCCCGCCGCCCGCCUGGGCCGGGGGCCGGGCCCCGGCGGGGCCCCUCGGCAAGGAGCUCCCCCACCGCGGCGGCCGCCCCGGGGCGGCGGGGGGGGGGGCGGCCGCGGGGCCGCUACCGGGACGCAGCCGCCGCCGCUCCUGCCGCCCAGCGCUACGGCCGCCGCCUCGGCCUCUCAGGCCCCCGCCGCCGCCCCUACCCCGCUGCUGCCCGGGGCCGCUGUCAAGAUGGAGCCCGAGAACAAGUACCUGCCCGAGCUGAUGGCCGAGAAGGACAGCCUCGACCCGUCCUUCACGCACGCCAUGCAGCUCCUCACAGCAGAAAUUGAAAAAAUUCAGAAGGGUGAAACAACAAAGAAGGAUGAGGAAGAGAACUACCUGGAUUUAUUUUCCCACAAGAAUAUGAAACUGAAAGAACGAGUUCUGAUACCUGUCAAACAGUACCCUAAGUUCAAUUUUGUUGGAAAGAUUUUGGGACCUCAAGGCAACACCAUCAAGAGACUUCAGGAAGAAACUGGUGCUAAGAUAUCUGUGCUUGGGAAGGGUUCAAUGCGAGAUAAAGCAAAGGAGGAAGAACUGCGUAAGGGGGGAGAUCCUAAGUAUGCUCAUCUAAAUAUGGAUUUGCAUGUCUUCAUUGAAGUUUUUGGACCCCCUUGUGAAGCAUAUGCUCUGAUGGCUCACGCCAUGGAAGAAGUCAAGAAGUUCCUUGUUCCAGAUAUGAUGGAUGAUAUCUGUCAGGAGCAAUUCUUGGAGCUCUCCUAUCUGAACGGUGUACCAGAGCCAACUCGUGGCCGAGGAGUCCCUGUGCGGGGAAGGGGAGCAGCUCCACCACCGCCUCCACCUGUUCCAAGGGGCCGUGGUGUUGGGCCGCCUCCUCCGCCUCCUCCUCCUCGGGGGGCCCUUGUGCGAGGAGCCCCGGUGCGGGGUGCCAUUGCCAGGGGAGCCGCUGUAGCCCGCGGAGUUCCUCCUCCCCCAGCAGUACGGGGUGCUCCUGCACCCAGAGCACGUGCAGCUGGCAUUCAGAGAAUACCGCUUCCUCCUCCUCCCGCACCAGAAACCUAUGAGGAAUACGGCUAUGAUGAUGCAUAUGCAGACCAGAGCUAUGAGGGGUAUGAAGGCUACUACAGCCAGGGCCAAGGGGACACAGAAUACUAUGAUUAUGGACACGGGGAGGCACAGGAAACCUAUGAAGCUUAUGGGCAAGAUGACUGGAACGGAACCAGGCCCUCCCUGAAGGCCCCGCCGGCCAGGCCAGUGAAGGGGGCCUACAGAGAGCACCCAUACGGACGUUAUUAAAAAACAAACAUGAGGGAAAAAUAUCAGUUAUGAGCAAACAGUUGUUACUGAUUCUUGUAUCUCCCGGGAUUCCCGUUGCUUUACCCACACCAGACAAGAGUCAAGAGUACAUCGCUAUGAAUCACUUGGGUGAAGAUGAGCAGGGGCAACACGAAGUGGGCACAGCUUUUAUAUCAAGUGGAAAAGAUUUGAUAGAGAUCAUCUAUUAUGAUGCAGUUUUUUACCAGUAGAAGUGGAUCUUGUGACACUGCCUUUGGAGUAAUACAGCUUGCUUGUGCAUUGCAUUUGUUGCAUGUUUAUGUGAAAGAUUUUCAUGUUAUGGAGGAAUGUAAAUCUUAAGAUAUUGAAAAUAACUGUAUAAGCCAAAAGUAUUUUGAAAACAUGCCCUGCGUCAAACAUCUUCCUCCCUCUCACAGCAUUACUACAUUCAGAUUUUAGCCUUGAGUCUACAAAAGCUAAUUUGAGAUCCCAAAAUAGCCGUCAGCAUCGGAUAUGUCUCUCAAAGAUGCUCUAAUUAGCCAGACGUUCCGGGGGUGAUACAGGACUCGCUGAAAUUUGUGAGGGGUAAAAAUUCCUUUGAGUACUGAAGUCUGAGUCACCUAAAUAACCUUCCCUUUUCUACUGACGCGUAGCCACUGGAGAUAGCUGGCUGUGAGCUAACAAGUGCCAGUGAUCUUUCAUCUCCUGAUUUCCCCAAAAGACUAAUCCACAUCUUAUUAUUUAUAGGAUUUUGGUAGAGACCAUAAACAAGAUAAAGGCCCCCAUUGUGCUUGGUUACUGUACAGUGUGAUGUACAGCAGCAGUCACGUCUCCUCUGUGGAAGUGUUUCCCAACAAUACUGUUCUUUUCAAGAGAAACUUGGCUCCAGAAACAUCCUCCUGCUGCACAUCGCUCUGUGCCUCAGUAGUCCCAUCUUCUCUGGCCCUUGCUCUGAGCAGCUCCAGCUUCUUCAGCCUCUAGUUCAGCCCUUUGGUAUAAAUACUCAGGCUGGCCUUACUUGGAGCUGAUACAAACCUGGACUUUACACUUCCUCGGUGAGGUCUCACCAUGCGUAGUGGUUCAUAGCCAGUAUCUUGGACAGCAGCAAGUGUGAAUCAGCUUGCAGAAAAAACACUCCAACAGGUAUUACAGAAAUGUCCCCAGCAGCUUUUCCUGGAAAGAGACUGUCAUAUACUGCCUGUUCUUUAACCCUGAUUUCAAGUUGCUGCUGGGAUUAUUAAAUAAAGCAAAUGGCUACAAGCUUUAUUUAUAACUUACCUAUGGUAUUUUUAUGUUUAACUUAAAACACUGUGCUUUCAGUAAGGCUAAGACAUUACCUUGAUAUGGUCCUCUGUAAAAUUCCAUAUUUGGCAAGUUGGGUUUAAAAGCACAGCUGGAUUCCCUGUUUGGCUGUUAAAGCAGAUGAUUCUUUUUGUGCAGAAUGAGUUUUUAAAUUUGUAUGAGAGCAUCUGUCACGAACAGAGCCAAGAAAAACAAUUUAAACGUGUGGCUCUUCCCUUCCUCACCCCAUGCCACUGCUCUCCUAAAACCCACUUGGGCAGAGGGGGAUUCCUGCAGCCUGGGAGAGAUUCCCCCCCCCAAAUGACCCCAGAGGAGAAGGGACCAGCUGUGACCCAUCUGCUGGGAGAUGCAGAGGAGAGCAGGCGGUGCUGCUAACACAGCUCUUCCCUCAGCUGCGAGGAACACAUACAUAUGGUGCUUUUGGGGAGGAAGGCAGGGCUUAGGGAAAUUCUUCUUUAAUUGAUAAACCUAUAACAUCUUGGAUGAGAUGUUGGACACAUGCCCCAUUUGUAAGCUUUGAGGGGGAGGAAUUUCUGCAGGCUAGUCAGGGCCCGUGGGAACUCCCAUCUCGAAUGUAGAUGUUACUCCUCUUUUUUUCAACUCGGGAAGCUCAGUUCCUGUGAGCACAGAGCAGAAACCUUUGCUGUUAUUGCUGUUGAGCCUUCCACUGCUACCAUAUGUUUUAAUAGAAAUGUUUGUUCCUGCGCUCAUUUUGCUCCUUUUGCAAAGCGGGAUGACUCUCCGACGAGAUGAUUUCAGAUCUGAUACAGGAACCCAGUUAAGACGCGGUUCACUUUGCUGUAGCUGGGAAACGGGAACCUGCCAGCUCUUGGUGAGUGGUGGAAAACGGUGGAGCCUCCCUUGGCUGCUGCAAACGCUGGAGAGCAGCAACCGCGUGUUGGAGUACUGAAAUAUAAAGCGUUUUCCAAUGAGGCUGUUACUUUUACCACUGGUGUUAGAACCAAAUAUGCCCAAAGGCUCGUACGCGGUGUUACAGAUUCAAAGCUGUUUUUAACGUGAUAUCAGUACAUUCUACCCAUUGCCCUUAUAAGCUGUCCCUGGAAGAUUGUGUUAAAACCACAGGUGUCUGGAUACUCCUGGUUUUUGAUGGCUCUGCACAAUGUAGACUUCAAAACUAGUAAGAAAUGAGAUUGGCCCUGUGAAAGUUCAUUACUUUUAGAGAUGGCUUUGCCUCCAGCCCAGGUUCUCAGAAUUGUAUAAUGUUCCAUCUGUACUGAAGCAUCAAACACCCACAAGUUGAGGAAAUCGAUAAAAAAUAACUGCAAGUGGUUGGUAAAGAUGGUGAAAACUGAUCAAGGUGAAUCACAGCAUUAAAAUAACUUGUAUGGGAAACUGGCAGGCUCUUCUGUGGCUGGUAUUUAGCAAGAAGUGUUCAACAGAUGUUGGAAGUGAUUAGUCAUUCCCUAUAAUAAAGGCCUAACGUUGAA
Molecule: RNA transcript, 4230 nt
Organism: Tyto alba (common barn owl)
Lineage: Eukaryota; Metazoa; Chordata; Aves; Strigiformes; Tytonidae
Gene: KHDRBS1
Gene name: KH RNA binding domain containing, signal transduction associated 1
Exons: 11
Source: RefSeq, a predicted model, not a curated record